UGAUGGCAGUGAUGAUUUCUACAUUUGUUCACCUGAUAACACUGUGAAGGUGUCCAGUCACUACCUCAUCUGAUGCCAUCU
Octodon degus (degu) is the source of this 81-nucleotide small nucleolar RNA. Ensembl annotates it as small nucleolar RNA, C/D box 11B. NCBI's taxonomy places the organism in Eukaryota, Metazoa, Chordata, Mammalia, Rodentia, Octodontidae. The record is from Ensembl.